GACGAACGCUGGCGGCGUGCCUAAUACAUGCAAGUCGAACGCACAGUUUAUACCGUAGCUUGCUGCACCAUAGACUGUGAGUUGCGAACGAGUUAGUAACGCGUCGCUAACCUGCCUGGUAGCGUGGGAUAACUAUUGGUAACGAUAGCUAAUACCGCAUAAUAUUAAUUAUUGCAUGAUAAUUUAUUGAAAGGUGCAAUUGCACCACUACCAUAUAGCCCUUCGUUGUAUUAGCUAGUAGGCGAGGUAACGGCUCACCUAGGCGACGAUACAUAGCCGAACGGAGAGGGUGAUUGGCCAGACUGGGAGUGAGACACGGCACAGAAGCAUACGGGAGGGAGCAGUAGGGAAACUGAGGCAAUGGACGAAAGACUGGACGAGCAAGGCGGGGGGAGUGAAGAAGGUUGUCGGAUCGGAAAGAUCGGUUGUAAGAGAAGAAAGGGGGUGAGAGUGGAAAGUUCACAAUGUGACGGUAGCUUACCAGAAAGGGACGGCUAACUACGUG
RNAcentral lists this ribosomal RNA (505 nucleotides) under uncultured bacterium. RNAcentral's name for it is "partial 16S ribosomal RNA". It matches the Rfam family "Bacterial small subunit ribosomal RNA", at positions 28 to 507 of the family's 1533-position model. The record is from RNAcentral.